UGCUAAGCCAGCACCGCUGUCGCCUCCCUCCAGUCGCCAUCAUGAUCAUCUACCGGGACCUCAUUAGCCAUGACGAGAUGUUCUCCGACAUCUACAAGAUCCGGGAGGUCGCAGAUGGGCUGUGUCUGGAGGUGGAGGGGAAGAUGGUCAGUAGGACAGAGGGUAACAUCGAUGACUCGCUCAUUGGUGGAAAUGCCUCCGCUGAAGGCCCCGAGGGCGAAGGUACCGAAAGCACAGUAAUCACUGGUGUCGAUAUUGUCAUGAACCAUCACUUGCAGGAAACCAGAUUCACAAAAGAAGNAUGGACCUUUGCUGGCAAA
Odocoileus virginianus texanus is the source of this 320-nucleotide non-coding RNA. Lineage: Eukaryota; Metazoa; Chordata; Mammalia; Artiodactyla; Cervidae. The record is from RefSeq and is a predicted model, not a curated record.